GAUGCGGUCUAUCUGCAGUCGAGCGAACAGAGAAGGAGCUUGCUCCUUUGACGUUAGCGGCGGACGGGUGAGUAACACGUGGGCAACCUACCUUAUAGUUUGGGAUAACUCCGGGAAACCGGGGCUAAUACCGAAUAAUCUGUUUCACCUCAUGGUGAAAUAUUGAAAGACGGUUUCGGCUGUCGCUAUAGGAUGGGCCCGCGGCGCAUUAGCUAGUUGGUGAGGUAACGGCUCACCAAGGCGACGAUGCGUAGCCGACCUGAGAGGGUGAUCGGCCACACUGGGACUGAGACACGGCCCAGACUCCUACGGGAGGCAGCAGUAGGGAAUCUUCCACAAUGGGCGAAAGCCUGAUGGAGCAACGCCGCGUGAGUGAAGAAGGAUUUCGGUUCGUAAAACUCUGUUGUAAGGGAAGAACAAGUACAGUAGUAACUGGCUGUACCUUGACGGUACCUUAUUAGAAAGCCACGGCUAACUACGUGCCAGCAGCCGCGGUAAUACGUAGGUGGCAAGCGUUGUCCGGAAUUAUUGGGCGUAAAGCGCGCGCAGGUGGUUUCUUAAGUCUGAUGUGAAAGCCCACGGCUCAACCGUGGAGGGUCAUUGGAAACUGGGAGACUUGAGUGCAGAAGAGGAUAGUGGAAUUCCAAGUGUAGCGGUGAAAUGCGUAGAGAUUUGGAGGAACACCAGUGGCGAAGGCGACUAUCUGGUCUGUAACUGACACUGAGGCGCGAAAGCGUGGGGAGCAAACAGGAUUAGAUACCCUGGUAGUCCACGCCGUAAACGAUGAGUGCUAAGUGUUAGGGGGUUUCCGCCCCUUAGUGCUGCAGCUAACGCAUUAAGCACUCCGCCUGGGGAGUACGGUCGCAAGACUGAAACUCAAGGAAUUGACGGGGGCCCGCACAAGCGGUGGAGCAUGUGGUUUAAUUCGAAGCAACGCGAAGAACCUUACCACGGUCUUGACAUCCCGAUGACCACUGUAGAGAUAUGGGUUCCCCUUCGGGGGCACGAUGACAGGUGUGCAUGGAUGUCGUCAGCUCGUGUCGUGAGAUGUGAGGUAAGUCCCGCAUCGAGCGCCACCCCCUGAUCCUAGUUGCAUCAAUUUAGUUGGGCACUCCUAAGGGACCUGGCGUGACGAUCGGAGGAAAGUGGGAUGACGUCAAUCAUCAUGCCGUAUGACUGGACUACGACGUGCUCACACUGGAUCGU
This 1206-nucleotide ribosomal RNA is filed under the name Lysinibacillus sp. RNAcentral's name for it is "bacterial SSU rRNA". It matches the Rfam family "Bacterial small subunit ribosomal RNA", at positions 43 to 1238 of the family's 1533-position model. The record is from RNAcentral. Lineage: Bacteria; Bacillati; Bacillota; Bacilli; Caryophanales; Bacillaceae.